This 73-nucleotide transfer RNA is filed under the name Allacma gallica. RNAcentral describes it as "tRNA-Ser". It matches the Rfam family "tRNA". From Rfam's summary of the family: Transfer RNA (tRNA) molecules are approximately 80 nucleotides in length. The record is from RNAcentral. Lineage: Eukaryota; Metazoa; Arthropoda; Collembola; Symphypleona; Sminthuridae.
AUUAGUUAGUUGGCUGAAUGUUCAGCAUGUAUCUUGAAAAUACAAUAUAAAGGUUAAAUUCCUUUACUAAUUU